This 324-nucleotide ribosomal RNA is filed under the name uncultured eukaryote. Its description in RNAcentral is "partial 18S ribosomal RNA". It matches the Rfam family "Eukaryotic small subunit ribosomal RNA", at positions 1470 to 1796 of the family's 1831-position model. The record is from RNAcentral.
CCCUUAGAUGUUCUGGGCCGCACGCGCGCUACACUGACGGAGUCAACGAGUUGUCCUGCAUCGGAAGGUGUGGGUAAUCUUUUGAAACUUCGUCGUGCUGGGGAUAGAUCUUUGCAAUUUUCGAUCUUGAACGAGGAAUUCCUAGUAAGCGUGAUUCAUCAGAUCGCGUUGAUUACGUCCCUGCCCUUUGUACACACCGCCCGUCGCUACUACCGAUUGAAUGGUUUAGUGAGGUCUCGGGACUGGCGCGCUCGAGUAGCAAUACACCUGCGCGCCGGGAACUUGGUCAAACUUGAUCAUUUAGAGGAAGUAAAAGUCGUAACA